ACGGGGAGGGGUUUGAGGAGGGGAUCGGAAUGUGGCUCAAGUUCGGGAGGCGUUACCUGCGGAGGGUUUGAGGCAGGCCCAGGAGCGAGCCCAUGGUCUUCCGACGCGGGGCCAGGGGCGGGGCCCAGGAUCCGGAGCUUCGUGCGGGGCCGAGUCCAGGUUUGGGGCCCGGGAGGCGGGGCCAGUUAGGGCGAGGGUCCCUGGGAUCGUCGGGUCAGGCCUUGGGCUAACGUAGGCACUCUCGCAGUUCCUCCGCCUUCAGGAAGGUCUUUUCAGCAGGGGCCUUACGGGUGCAUGCUUCGGUCCUGGAGGCCUUAUCCUAGCCUCCUCUCCAUCAGCGCCACCCGUCUGGGGCCCGAAAGGAGGGAGCUUUCCCUCUGUCCCCCAGCCUUUGGACUGUCACUAAACAAGCCAUUCGUUCAUCAAAUACUUUUUAAGCGCCUACCAUGUGCCUGACAAGGGAGAUGUAACGGUGAGAAAAACUAGGUGUGGUCCAGGCCCUUCAGGGGCUCAGGUGCUCGUGGAAGAAGUGGACAUUGAAGUACUUAUCACACAAAUGAGGAUAAAAGUACGAUAACGAUAUCUACCACGAAGCUGUUGUUCCCCACCAGAACCAAAUGAGCGCAAGAUCUGACAAAGAAAAAAAAAGGUUCAUCUUUUAUUCCUCCAAACACUUUCAUUUAAAUCAAGAGGAUGGGAUGUGGUUAUUGCUGUGUUUUUAGACAGAAUCAACGGUUUCUGGGUCUGAGAUGUUGCAUACACCUUCUCAGUCCCUGUAUCCUGAGAUGGAGUCACCUGAGAAUCCACAGCAAGUCCUAACCAGGGAUGGGUCUGGGUGAUUAAGGAAGGUUGGCUUCAGAACUGGGCCAGGGGCACUGCUUUGCUUUUGCUGUUUUGAUCAGCUCUCUGCCUGAAGGAGACAAGAAAAACCAACGGGAACAGCUGGGGAAACUGAGUUACAGAGCUUGUCUGCACUGAGUCAUCAGGAGCAAAUGCUAGAUCAGAUAGGGUCUCUCUCUCUGCCACCCAGGCCAGAGUGCAGUUGACGCAGGGCAGGGGAGCCCCGAAGUGGAGCAUAGUGUGUCCGGAACUGGUGGGUUCUUGGUCUCACUGACUUCAAGAAAGAAGCCGCGGACCCUCGCGGUGAGUGUCACAGUUCUUAAAGGCUGCGUGUCCAGAGUUUGUUCCUUCUGAUGCUCGGAUGUGUUCAGAGUUUCUUCCUUCUGGUGGUUUUGUGGUCUCGCUGGCUUCAGGAGUGAAGCUGCAGACCUUCAAG
This is a long non-coding RNA of Homo sapiens (human), 1276 nucleotides long. Ensembl annotates it as family with sequence similarity 66 member D. Its record names the gene FAM66D. The record is from Ensembl. NCBI's taxonomy places the organism in Eukaryota, Metazoa, Chordata, Mammalia, Primates, Hominidae.